UUGUUUCAGGAUUGUAGGUUU
Caenorhabditis elegans is the source of this 21-nucleotide non-coding RNA. The record is from Ensembl. Lineage: Eukaryota; Metazoa; Nematoda; Chromadorea; Rhabditida; Rhabditidae.